GUAGGUGGCAAGCGUUGUCCGGAAUUAUUGGGCGUAAAGCGCGCGCAGGCGGUUCUUUAAGUCUGAUGUGAAAGCCCACGGCUCAACCGUGGAGGGUCAUUGGAAACUGGAGAACUUGAGUACAGAAGAGGAAAGCGGAAUUCCACGUGUAGCGGUGAAAUGCGUAGAGAUGUGGAAGAACACCAGUGGCGAAGGCGGCUUUCUGGUCUGUAACUGACGCUGAGGCGCGAAAGCGUGGGGAGCAAACAGGAUUAGAUACCCUGGUAGUCCACGCCGUAAACGAUGAGUGCUAAGUGUUAGGGGGUUUCCGCCCCCCUUAGUGCUGCAGCUAACGCAUUAAGCACUCCGCCUGGGAGUACGGCCGCAAGGCUG
Molecule: ribosomal RNA, 372 nt
Filed under: uncultured organism
Description: partial 16S ribosomal RNA
Rfam family: Bacterial small subunit ribosomal RNA
Source: RNAcentral